GACCCGCUGAACUUAAGCAUAUCAAUAAGCGGAGGAAAAGAACCAACAGGGAUUGCCCUAGUAACGGCGAGUGAAGCGGCAACAGCUCAAAUUUGAAAUCUGGCGCAAGCCCGAGUUGUAAUUUGUAGAGGAUGCUUCUGGGUAGCGACCGAUCUAAGUUCCUUGGAACAGGACGUCAUAGAGGGUGAGAAUCCCGUAUGUGAUCGGCCCGCACCCUUUACGUAGCUCCUUCGACGAGUCGAGUUGUUUGGGAAUGCAGCUCUAAAUGGGAGGUAAAUUUCUUCUAAAGCUAAAUACCGGCCAGAGACCGAUAGCGCACAAGUAGAGUGAUCGAAAGAUGAAAAGUACUUUGGAAAGAGAGUUAAAAAGCACGUGAAAUUGUUGAAAGGGAAGCGCCUGCAACCAGACUUCGUGGCAGUGUUCCGCCGGUCUUCUGACCGGUUUAUUCUCUGUCGCGAGGCCAUCAUCGUCUGGGCCCGCCGGAUAAGACCUGAGGAAUGUGGCUCUCCUUCGGGGGAGUGUUAUAGCCUCUGGUGAUGCGGCGCGGCUCGGGCGAGGUCCGCGCUUCGGCAAGGAUGAUGGCGUAAUGGUUGUCGGCGGCCCGUCUUGAAACACGGACCAAGGAGUCUAACAUCUAUGCGAGUGUUCGGGUGUCAAACCCCUACGCGUAAUGAAAGUGAACGGAGGUGGGAACCGCAAGGUGCACCAUCGACCGAUCCUGAUGUCCUCGGAUGGAUUUGAGUAAGAGCAUAGCUGUUGGGACCCGAAAGAUGGUGAACUAUGCCUGAAUAGGGUGAAGCCAGAGGAAACUCUGGUGGAGGCUCGCAGCGGUUCUGACGUGCAAAUCGAUCGUCAAAUUUGGGUAUAGGGGCGAAAGACUAAUCGAACCAUCUAGUAGCUGGUUCCUGCCGAAGUUUCCCCUCAGGAAAAAAAAAAACCGCUCCAAGAUGGUUCAAUAAAUCCUUUCGCCCUAUCCCAAAUCUGACAAUGAAUUUCACGUCGAAACCCCUUCGGACCCCCCCAAAAUUUCCCUGGGUUCCCCCUUUCGGCCAGAUUUCCACUUUUGGGGCCCACCAUGGCCCUUCAAAACCCCCCAGAAACUCCGGAGGGUUUUAAAGGAGGCCCCGGGCCCCCCCCUUUUUUUUCCCCAGAGGGGUUUGUGUCCCCCCCCAA
RNAcentral lists this ribosomal RNA (1173 nucleotides) under Cercospora sp. JL-2019a. RNAcentral's name for it is "partial large subunit ribosomal RNA". It matches the Rfam family "Eukaryotic large subunit ribosomal RNA", at positions 23 to 1106 of the family's 3401-position model. Lineage: Eukaryota; Fungi; Ascomycota; Dothideomycetes; Mycosphaerellales; Mycosphaerellaceae. The record is from RNAcentral.